Molecule: transfer RNA, 77 nt
Filed under: Agrobacterium sp.
Lineage: Bacteria; Pseudomonadati; Pseudomonadota; Alphaproteobacteria; Hyphomicrobiales; Rhizobiaceae
Also listed under: 112 other names
Description: tRNA-Pro
Rfam family: tRNA
About the family: Transfer RNA (tRNA) molecules are approximately 80 nucleotides in length. Their secondary structure includes four short double-helical elements and three loops (D, anti-codon, and T loops).
Source: RNAcentral
CGGGGAGUAGCGCAGCCCGGUAGCGCGCCUGCUUUGGGAGCAGGAUGUCGCAGGUUCGAAUCCUGUCUCCCCGACCA